GGAGGAUUCGCCUAGUGGCCUAGGGCGCACGCUUGGAAAGCGUGUUGGGGGAAACCCCUCACGAGUUCGAAUCUCGUAUCCUCCGCCA
Molecule: transfer RNA, 88 nt
Filed under: Actinoplanes sp.
Lineage: Bacteria; Bacillati; Actinomycetota; Actinomycetes; Micromonosporales; Micromonosporaceae
Also listed under: 29 other names
Description: tRNA-Ser
Rfam family: tRNA
About the family: Transfer RNA (tRNA) molecules are approximately 80 nucleotides in length. Their secondary structure includes four short double-helical elements and three loops (D, anti-codon, and T loops).
Source: RNAcentral